Molecule: non-coding RNA, 29 nt
Filed under: Rattus norvegicus (Norway rat)
Lineage: Eukaryota; Metazoa; Chordata; Mammalia; Rodentia; Muridae
Source: RNAcentral
UGAUGUCAUAAAUCAGGCUGUAGCCAAUG